This 497-nucleotide ribosomal RNA is filed under the name uncultured bacterium. RNAcentral's name for it is "partial 16S ribosomal RNA". It matches the Rfam family "Bacterial small subunit ribosomal RNA", at positions 28 to 507 of the family's 1533-position model. The record is from RNAcentral.
GAUGAACGCUGGCGGCGUGCCUAAUACAUGCAAGUCGAGCGAACGGACGAGAAGCUUGCUUCUCUGAUGUUAUCGGCGGACGGGUGAGUAACACGUGGAUAACCUACCUAUAAGACUGGGAUAACUUCGGGAAACCGGAGCUAAUACUGGAUCAUAUUUUGAACCGCAUGGUUCAAAAGUGAAAGACGGUCUUGCCGUCACUUAUAGAUGGAUCCGCGCUGCAUUAGCUAGUUGGUAAGGUAACGGCUUACCAAGGCAACGAUGCAUAGCCGACCUGAGAGGGGGGUCAGCCACACUGGAACUGAGAAACGGUCCAAACUCCUACGGGAGGCAGCAGUGGGGAAUUUUGGACAAUGGGCGGAAACCUUAACCAGCCAUCCCGCGUGGGUGAAGAAGGCUUUCGGGUUGUAAAACCCUUUUUUUGGGAAAAAAAAGUAGGUGGAAAAUACGGCGCUGUUCUGACGGGAACCAAAGAAGAAGCACCGGCUAAAUUCGUG